RNAcentral lists this ribosomal RNA (253 nucleotides) under uncultured bacterium. Its description in RNAcentral is "partial 16S ribosomal RNA". It matches the Rfam family "Bacterial small subunit ribosomal RNA", at positions 524 to 776 of the family's 1533-position model. The record is from RNAcentral.
UACGAAGGGGGCUAGCGUUGUUCGGAUUUACUGGGCGUAAAGCGCGUGUAGGCGGGUCGGUAAGUUGGGGGUGAAAUCCCGAGGCUCAACCACGGAACUGCCUUCAAAACUGGCGACCUGGACUCAAGUAGAGGCAAGUGGAAUUGCGAGUGUAGAGGUGAAAUUCGUAGAUAUUCGCAGGAACACCAGUGGCGAAGGCGGCUUGCUGGACUUUUACUGACGCUGAGACGCGAAAGCGUGGGGAGCAAACAGG